Molecule: ribosomal RNA, 500 nt
Filed under: uncultured bacterium
Lineage: Bacteria
Description: partial 16S ribosomal RNA
Rfam family: Bacterial small subunit ribosomal RNA
Source: RNAcentral
AUUGAACGCUGGCGGCAUGCCUUACACAUGCAAGUCGAACGGCAGCACGGGUGCUUGCACCUGGUGGCGAGUGGCGAACGGGUGAGUAAUAUAUCGGAACGUACCUUAUUGUGGGGGAUAACGCAGCGAAAGCUGUGCUAAUACCGCAUAAUCCCUAAGGGGGAAAGCGGGGACCGUAAGGCCUCGCGCAAUUAGAGCGGCCGAUACCUGAUUAGCUAGUUGGUGAGGUAAAGGCUCACCAAGGCAACGAUCAGUAGCUGGUCUGAGAGGACGAUCAGACACACUGGGACAGAGACACGGCCCAGACUCCUACGGGAGGCAGCAGUGGGGAAUUUUGGACAAUGGGGGCAACCCUGAUCAAGCAAUGCCGCGUGAGUGAAGAAGGCCUUCGGGUUGUAAAGCUCUUUUGUCAGGGAAGAAACAGCAGCUCUAACACAGUUUGCGAAUGACGGUACCUGAAGAAUAAGCACCGGCUAACUACGUGCCAGCAGCCGCCGUAA